CCCUUAGAUGUUCUGGGCUGCACGCGUGCUACACUGAUAUUGCCAAUAUGUCAUUCUUAUCCGAAAUGGGUUGGGUAAUCAAGUAAUGAAAUUUCAUGCUUGGAAUCGGUAAUUGCAAUUUUAUCGUGAACGAGGAAUUCCUAGUAAGCACUAGUCAUCAGCUAAUGUUGAUUAUGUCCCUGCCCUUUGUACACACCGCCCGUCGCUACUACUGAUUGGGUGUUCAAGUGAGAUGCUUAGACCCUUGUUGCAUGGUUCAUUAUUGUGCUCCGAAAGGAAAAAGUUUCAAGCUUGAGUGUCUAGAGGAAGUAAAAGUCGUAACA
RNAcentral lists this ribosomal RNA (323 nucleotides) under uncultured eukaryote. RNAcentral's name for it is "partial 18S ribosomal RNA". It matches the Rfam family "Eukaryotic small subunit ribosomal RNA", at positions 1470 to 1796 of the family's 1831-position model. The record is from RNAcentral.